Molecule: long non-coding RNA, 1361 nt
Organism: Cebus imitator (Panamanian white-faced capuchin)
Lineage: Eukaryota; Metazoa; Chordata; Mammalia; Primates; Cebidae
Exons: 5
Source: RefSeq, a predicted model, not a curated record
CUGUGUGGGCCCAGCUUUCCCCCAGCGCUGGAGACUCCGAGCCCGGUCGGUCCCACAUUCCACGCGAGUUGAAUUCCCGCCCGCAUCCCGCCCGGGCAGCCGGGAUUGCGGGCUCCGGGAGGCGCUCGGGCUCCGAGAAGCGGCUCAGCCCCGCGCCCCUCCCUCCGCAGUACCGCUGCCGGCGGACCAGGAUUCCCGCGGGUCCUGGCGGCUGCGAGCGGGAGGCGGCGCGGAUUCCCGGCUCGGUUCUGGCGCGACUGCUCACCGCGCCCGCCCGCCCGCCUCUCCUCCCGCGGCUGCCAGCGUGCACAGGGCGCUCCUCGGCGCGUCUGCCCGGUCUUUCCUUCUCCUCCCUGUAGUCCCAGCGUCGCAACUCCGCCAACCUCAGCUGCCCUGAGAGCGCGUCCUGCGCGGCCGGAGUCGGACGGACUCGGGCUUCACGCCUCGCGGCGGCACCCCUUCUCCCCGGCACUGCGGCACAGUCCUUAGGGGAGGCAGAGUCCUUUCGGAGUUUGACCCUUGGAUUCCACCCAGAGCAGCUUCCAAAAUGACACCUCUGAAGUUGUGUAUUGAGUUGGGGGAUGUGAAGGGAGGAGAAGAAAGAAGAUGAAGAGACACCAGCCAGCCUUGAGGAGUGGACAUCUUACCUGGUGAAAAUGAACAAGACACUGACCGCAUAUGGAGUUUUGCUCUGUUGCCCAGGCUGGAGUGCAGUGGCACCAUCUUGGCUCACUGCAACCUCUGCCUCCGGGUUCAAGUGAUUCUCCUGCCUCAGCCCCCAGGUAGCUGGGAUUACAGGAGCUCCCUCCCGCCGCUCCUACAGUGCUGGUGAAAGGCAGCCCCAUUGCCUGCUGGAAGACCUGCCAGCUUGGGCUUCAGAGCACUUCUGCCUCAGCUCCUCAACGAUCCCUUCUGUCAUCAUGGGACCUUUCCUGGGAUUUGAUUUAGGGUGACUUGUCUGCGUCCUGAGUCCUGCCUUCCCUGGCUGGUCCUCCGUGCUUAGUCACCCAGCUCAUUCCCAGGCAGCUGCACCCUGGGUAUGUCUCCUCUCAUGUGCUUCCUGGAAAUGUCUCCUUUCUUCUCAUCUACUGAGAGGUCCUUCUGGGCAGGGACUCGGGCAGAUUCAUCCUGGCCUGCCCCACCGUUCCCUAGCCCAGCGCCUGGCCCAUUGCAGUGCUGAAGGAUGAUUCUGGUAAGAAACAAGGUACCCCAGCUCACAUCUUGCAAUGAUUAUGCCUCCCUGAUCCUCCCUUCUCCUUGCAAUUCUCUCCCUUCACCGAUGAUUUUGGAUGCAAUUUAAAAUAAAAAUAUUGAUUAAAAAUGGAAACUAUAUAAAUACAAAUAAAAACACUUAACAUCAA